This 447-nucleotide ribosomal RNA is filed under the name uncultured bacterium. RNAcentral's name for it is "bacterial SSU rRNA". It matches the Rfam family "Bacterial small subunit ribosomal RNA", at positions 355 to 825 of the family's 1533-position model. The record is from RNAcentral.
UCGGGAAUUUUGGGCAAUGUGCGAAAGCCUGACCCAGCAACGCCGCGUGAAGGAUGAAGUAUUUCGGUAUGUAAACUUCGUAAGAAUAGGAAGAAUAAAUGACGGUACUAUUUGUAAGGUCCGGCUAACUACGUGCCAGCAGCCGCGGUAAUACGUAGGGACCAAGCGUUGUUCGGAUUUACUGGGCAUAAAGGGCGCGUAGGCGGUUUGUCAAGUCAGUUGUGAAAUCUCCGAGCUUAACUCGGAACGGUCAACUGAUACUGUCAAACUAGAGUACAGAAGGGGCAAUCGGAAUUCUUGGUGUAGCGGUGAAAUGCGUAGAUAUCAAGAGGAACACCUGAGGCGAAGGCGGGUUGCUGGGCUGAUACUGACGCUGAAGCGCGAAAGCUAGGGUAGCAAACAGGAUUAGAUACCCCCGUAGUCCCUGAGCGGGCUGGCAAGGCGCAU